RNAcentral lists this transfer RNA (71 nucleotides) under Kutzneria viridogrisea. Its description in RNAcentral is "tRNA-Gly". It matches the Rfam family "tRNA". Rfam says of the family: Transfer RNA (tRNA) molecules are approximately 80 nucleotides in length. Their secondary structure includes four short double-helical elements and three loops (D, anti-codon, and T loops). Further hydrogen bonds mediate the characteristic L-shaped molecular structure. tRNAs have two regions of fundamental functional importance: the anti-codon, which is responsible for specific mRNA codon recognition, and the 3' end, to which the tRNAs corresponding amino acid is attached (by aminoacyl-tRNA synthetases). tRNAs cope with the degeneracy of the genetic code in two manners: having more than one tRNA (with a specific anti-codon) for a particular amino acid; and 'wobble' base-pairing, i.e. permitting non-standard base-pairing at the 3rd anti-codon position. The record is from RNAcentral. Lineage: Bacteria; Bacillati; Actinomycetota; Actinomycetes; Pseudonocardiales; Pseudonocardiaceae. RNAcentral also lists the same sequence under 1 other name.
GCGGGUGUAGUUCAAUGGUAGAACGAAAGCUUCCCAAGCUUUAGGCGCGAGUUCGAUUCUCGUCACCCGCU